AACAAGUCGCUCUCGUCUAGUGGUUUGCGUAUUAAUCAAUUUGUGCGACACGAGUUCGAUCGACUUUAAGAGCGGUGAAGAUAGAACAAAUUAUGUGACGGAAGCCGUCACAGUCGUCCUGACCAACUGUGACGAUAGCAAGUGCCGUCUGAGCUCUUUUUUUU
RNAcentral lists this small RNA (164 nucleotides) under Arabidopsis thaliana (thale cress). RNAcentral's name for it is "ATSL139370". The stretch from base 71 to 155 matches the Rfam family "small nucleolar RNA snoR121". The record is from RNAcentral. Lineage: Eukaryota; Viridiplantae; Streptophyta; Magnoliopsida; Brassicales; Brassicaceae.